This 86-nucleotide non-coding RNA is filed under the name uncultured Caecibacter sp. RNAcentral describes it as "Glycine riboswitch". It matches the Rfam family "Glycine riboswitch aptamer", at positions 7 to 88 of the family's 94-position model. From Rfam's summary of the family: This family represents the bacterial glycine riboswitch. Glycine riboswitches usually consist of two metabolite-binding aptamers domains with similar structures in tandem. The record is from RNAcentral. Lineage: Bacteria; Bacillati; Bacillota; Negativicutes; Veillonellales; Veillonellaceae.
ACACGACUCUGGAGAGUCCCUUAAAAGGGCGCCGAAGGUGCACGGAUACUAUUAUUCCUUAUCUCUCAGGCAAAAGGACAGAGGCU